This 64-nucleotide transfer RNA is filed under the name Scirpophaga incertulas. Its description in RNAcentral is "tRNA-Val". Lineage: Eukaryota; Metazoa; Arthropoda; Insecta; Lepidoptera; Crambidae. The record is from RNAcentral.
CAAAUUAAAGCUUUUUAAGCAUUUCAUUUACAUUGAAAAGGGAUUGUUAAUUCAAUUGAUUUGA